This 232-nucleotide ribosomal RNA is filed under the name uncultured bacterium. Its description in RNAcentral is "partial 16S ribosomal RNA". It matches the Rfam family "Bacterial small subunit ribosomal RNA", at positions 99 to 334 of the family's 1533-position model. The record is from RNAcentral.
CGGACGGGUGAGUAAUGUCUGGGAAACUGCCCGAUGGAGGGGGAUAACUACUGGAAACGGUAGCUAAUACCGCAUAAUGUCUGCGGACCAAAGCGGGGGACCUCCGGGCCUCUUGCCAUCGGAUGUGCCCAGAUGGGAUUAGCUUGUAGGUAAGGUAACGGCUUACCUAGGCGACGAUCCCUAGCUGGUCUGAGAGGAUGAUCAGCCACACUGGGACUGAGACACGGCCCAG